CAGCCGCCGCGGUAAUACGAAGGGUGCAAGCGUUAAUCGGAAUUACUGGGCGUAAAGCGUGCGUAGGCGGUUUGUUAAGUCUGUUGUGAAAUCCCCGGGCUCAACCUGGGAAUUGCAGUGGAUACUGGGUCACUAGAGUGUGGUAGAGGAUAGUGGAAUUUCCGGUGUAGCAGUGAAAUGCGUAGAGAUCGGAAGGAACAUCUGUGGCGAAGGCGACUAUCUGGGCCAACACUGACACUGAGGCACGAAAGCGUGGGGAGCAAACAGGAUUAGAUACCCCCGUAGUCCCUGUCUCUUAUAC
RNAcentral lists this ribosomal RNA (301 nucleotides) under uncultured bacterium. RNAcentral's name for it is "partial 16S ribosomal RNA". It matches the Rfam family "Bacterial small subunit ribosomal RNA", at positions 509 to 807 of the family's 1533-position model. The record is from RNAcentral.